RNAcentral lists this ribosomal RNA (946 nucleotides) under uncultured Fusobacterium sp. RNAcentral's name for it is "bacterial SSU rRNA". The stretch from base 1 to 789 matches the Rfam family "Bacterial small subunit ribosomal RNA", at positions 28 to 873 of the family's 1533-position model. Lineage: Bacteria; Fusobacteriati; Fusobacteriota; Fusobacteriia; Fusobacteriales; Fusobacteriaceae. The record is from RNAcentral.
GAUGAACGCUGACAGAAUGCUUAACACAUGCAAGUCGACUCGAGUCUUCGGACUUGGGUGGCGCACGGGCGAGUAACGCGUAAAGAACUUGCCUCUUAGACCGGGACAACAUCUGGAAACGGAUGCUAAUACCGGAUAUUAUGGUUUUUUCGCAUGGAGGAAUCAUGAAAGCUGGAUGCGCUAAGAGAGAGCUUUGCGUCCCAUUAGCUAGUUGGUGAGGUAACGGCCCACCAAGGCAAUGAUGGGUAGCCGGCCUGAGAGGGUGAACGGCCACAAGGGGACUGAGACACGGCCCUUACUCCUACGGGAGGCAGCAGUGGGGAAUAUUGGACAAUGGACCGCAAGUCUGAUCCAGCAAUUCUGUGUGCACGAUGACGUUUUUCGGAAUGUAAAGUGCUUUCAGUCGGGAAGAAGUCAGUGACGGUACCGACAGAAGAAGCGACGGCUAAAUACGUGCCAGCAGCCGCGGUAAUACGUAUGUCGCAAGCGUUAUCCGGAUUUAUUGGGCGUAAAGCGCGUCUAGGCGGCAAGGAAAGUCUGAUGUGAAAAUGCGGAGCUCAACUCCGUAUGGCGUUGGAAACUGCCUUACUAGAGUACUGGAGAGGUAGGCGGAACUACAAGUGUAGAGGUGAAAUUCGUAGAUAUUUGUAGGAAUGCCGAUGGGUGAAGCCAGCCUAUUGUACAGAUACUGACGCUGAAGCGCGAAAGCGUGGGUAUCAAACAGGAUUAAAUUCCCUUGUAGUCCAAUGGUGAUGUUCUACUGUGGAUAUCAAGGCUUAUGAUGCCGUCUACCUCGAGGGGGAAACACACAAUCCAUGAUUUUGUGUCCUUUGAUGAGGUUUUGUUAGCUGUGCUGUGCUCCCCUUUUUAUUUGUCUGUGUGUGCUCUUUCUUGUUUGUUGUGUGUGUGGGGUGCUGCCUGUGUGCUGCCUGUGUGUGUUUCUGUG